UACGAGGGGUGCAAGCGUUGCUCGGAAUUAUUGGGCGUAAAGGGUAGGUAGGUGGUCUCAUUUGUCUGGGGUGAAAGCCUUGAGCUUAACUCAAGAAGUGCCCCAGAAACGGUGAGACUGGAGUCCUGGAGAGGGUCGUGGAAUUCCCGGUGUAGCGGUGAAAUGCGUAGAGAUCGGGAGGAACACCAGAGGCGAAAGCGGCGACCUGGACAGGCACUGACACUCAACUACGAAAGCGUGGGGAGCAAACAGG
Molecule: ribosomal RNA, 253 nt
Filed under: uncultured bacterium
Lineage: Bacteria
Description: partial 16S ribosomal RNA
Rfam family: Bacterial small subunit ribosomal RNA
Source: RNAcentral